RNAcentral lists this ribosomal RNA (427 nucleotides) under uncultured bacterium. RNAcentral describes it as "partial 16S ribosomal RNA". It matches the Rfam family "Bacterial small subunit ribosomal RNA", at positions 355 to 774 of the family's 1533-position model. The record is from RNAcentral.
UGGGGAAUAUUGGACAAUGGGCGAAAGCCUGAUCCAGCCAUGCCGCGUGUGUGAAGAAGGUCUUCGGAUUGUAAAGCACUUUAAGUUGGGAGGAAGGGCAUUAACCUAAUACGUUAGUGUUUUGACGUUACCGAAAGAAUAAGCACCGGCUAACUCUGUGCCAGCAGCCGCGGUAAUACAGAGGGUGAAAGCGUUAAUCGGAAUUACUGGGCGUAAAGCGCGCGUAGGUGGUUUGUUAAGUUGGAUGUGAAAUCCCCGGGCUCAACCUGGGAACUGCAUUCAAAACUGACUGACUAGAGUAUGGUAGAGGGUGGUGGAAUUUCCUGUGUAGCGGUGAAAUGCGUAGAUAUAGGAAGGAACACCAGUGGCGAAGGCGACCACCUGGACUAAUACUGACACUGAGGUGCGAAAGCGUGGGGAGCAAACA